RNA transcript from Coffea eugenioides, 2211 nucleotides. RefSeq lists it as uncharacterized. NCBI's taxonomy places the organism in Eukaryota, Viridiplantae, Streptophyta, Magnoliopsida, Gentianales, Rubiaceae. The record is from RefSeq and is a predicted model, not a curated record. The transcript is spliced from 5 exons.
AAAUGCCGUGGAAAGUUUUCUAAAGUUUCCUAUUGAUGCUUUAUAUAUGUAAGAUUUCGCCUCACAUGUAUGUUUGGUUUCCCAAUCUCUUGUGUAAUUACAGUUGCUUUGGCUCCCCAGUGAUCUCUGGUUUUGCAAGGUGAAAUUGGUUUCCCAAUCUCUUGUGUAAUUGCGAUUGCUUUGCCUCCACUGAUUAAUGUUUGGACAAUGGGUCGGAAUAGAGUAUAUAGAAGUUUAGAAGAGGCUAAUGCUGAGAAAAAUCGAAAGAAACGCGACCAACGUGCUGCUGCUCGCCAAAGGAGAAAAAAUGACGCGCCAUCAGGAGUGUGUACGCUGGCUGUCACAGCUUUUAAUAUACGUGAACCAAAUACUAUUAAUCAGCCAAAUAUGAGUGCUGGAGAAUCUUCAUUAGGCUCGGACCCAGUGCUGCCAUCUACACAGAAUAAUGCAGAGCAAUUUCCAAUGGAAAAUGAACAAAAUGUAUCUAGCUCUAUUGCUGAUAGUGCUAACGAGGUUUCAUCAACUAAUAUAGGUAUUGGUCAAUCACCAUUACGUAGAAAACGUCGAUCUGUAAGACGCUCUGUUACUGAUCCGUUAGCCACGAUAGCUACUGAGCCCACAGUAUUGCCUGAUGUUCCAAAUUGUCCGUACUGUCAUGCAAAACGAUUUCAUCACGAACCGCCUGGUUUUUGCUGUUCCUCUGGUGAGAUACAGCUAUUAUCUACUGAGAUGCCGCGAGAGCUUAUGUUAUUAUAUAUUGAAGAUUCUGAUCAGGCUGUCGAGUUUCGCAGAUGCGUUAGAAGCUAUAAUAAUAUGUUUGCAUUUACCUCGAUUGGUAUUCAUUCUGAUAAAUCUUUGGCUGCAAAUUAUAAUGGAGUUUAUACAUUUCGAAUCCAAGGACAAAUGUAUCAUUAUAUUAAUGCGCUUGUUCCAGAGGAUGGUGUCCAGGCGCGAGUUCAUUCUUUUCUUGGCUUUCUUUACUGGGCGUUCAAGCAAUUUUGGCGGUGAGUUGAGCUGAAUCCAGAGCGCACCGCUUCAGAGUUCUGCGCGCUGCUACUUUUCCUUACUGUUUUCUCGGUCUUGUUUCCUCUGUUUCUUUUCUUGGCCUUCUUUACCAGAUUAAUGCCUUGAGAAUGGGUCGGAAUAGAGUAUACGGAAGUUUGGAAGAGGCAAUUAAACCAGAAUUAACUAUAAAACAGGUCUUUGCAUAAUUAAUGCUUUUACAAAUAUCUUGAAAUACUAUUUCUUACUCCAUUAAAACUUUUCCUAUCAGAAAUUAGCAGUGAGAAUCCGGGUUCUGAUAUGAGUUCAGUGUUGCAUGGAUUGGACGAUGAGUUUGGGGUACGGGGCUAACGAAGACAAGAGAAAUAGGGGAAUCUGUAAACCAUUUGGCCUGACUCCUCAAUGUGUUAAUUCGUUUUUUUAAUGAAGCUGUUUAGACUUCACUAAGAGACAUGAAAACUUACCGAGUGUUGUUUUGAUCGGUUAAGUAAAUUGUUAUCGCAAUACAAAGGUGAAUCUCUUUUCCAGAUUUAUUUUCUUUAGAAUUCAUCAUAUGCUAAUUUCCAUUUCAGAUUUAUUUUGUUUAUGCUUUCCCACUACUUUCUUUAUGAGACUGGGGAUUGCCAAGUUUGUCGCAUGAAUCAGGAAUAUAUUUUAUACUAAAGGCAAAACGAAGGGCUCUAGGAAAUGUCUGGUGUUUUGGCUGAGCAUCAUCCAGCGGUAGCUAAUGCCCUGAUCGUAUGAUUGUUGGGUAACGUGUUCGAUGGUGUGAGUGCAGCAAAGGGUGUAUGUUCCAGGAAGGGAAAAGGAGAAGCAAACUGUUGAGCUGGAGGUCUGCAAUCAGGGAAUGUUCAAAACCGAGUUGUGUAACAAAUGGCAAGAGACCGGGGAAUGUCCCUAUGGAGAGAACUGCCAAUUUGCUCAUGGAAUUAAGGAGCUGCGCCCUGUACUUCGCCACCCAAGGUACAAGACUGAGGUAUGCCGCAUGGAGUUGAACGGUGGACACCGAUGAUGAGGAGAAGCUUAUCAAGUCCAUGAACAUCAGGCCCCUAAAGCUACUCAAUCGUUAGGUCCACGAUUAUAACUCCCCUAAAUGAUGUUAGACAACUGCAAAGGUCUUGGCUGGUAUGCAACAGUGUUUUUGUUCUUCAAAGUAAGCAAUUGAUUAAUAGGCAAUAAGGCUAAGGUCUACUGAUGUGAUAAUACUAA